RNAcentral lists this long non-coding RNA (543 nucleotides) under Homo sapiens (human). Its description in RNAcentral is "HSALNT0012576". Lineage: Eukaryota; Metazoa; Chordata; Mammalia; Primates; Hominidae. The record is from RNAcentral.
AUUCUAGCCCUGUUGGACAGCCGAACCCAUCACAACAAAUCAAUGCCAAAAAUGGCAUUUCAAGAGGAAAACAUAGCAUUUAUUUAGUACCCCCAACAGAGUAGCUCAAAGUGAUUUGAAAAUGUCUCAUUAAUCCUCAUAACACCCCUGUGGGAUAAUAAUAAUAUUAUUAUAACGUUUAGGCGUAGAACUGUGGCAAAGCCAACAGCUUCUCUGAGCAUGUGCAGGAUUUCCUCAUAUUUCAGUCUGCAAUACUAGAGCCUGACUAAAACCGUCAGGUUUGCAAACAGCAAGGGUAAAUAAAUCUUGGUGUUUGGCCUUUCUGUGUUGCUCUAGGCAUAGUUUGUGUUUCCUACUGACCACAUCAAUCCCAGAAAUAGUUCACCAGUUGUUUGCCAGAUGGUAAGCAGCAUUUAGGAUUAGCUCAGAAGUGUUUGAGAGUGGGACAAGGCAGGGCUAGAGGUCCUGAUCCACAAUUACAGAUAAAUGAAUGGAGAAAUAGCACCUAGUAACAGUGUAAAAGCGUUCCUAUUUCUCCACAUC